GGCGGAGCAUGUUGCUUAAUUCGAGGCAACGCGAAGAACCUUACCUGGGUUUGACAUGUCGAGAAAAGCCGUAGAGAUACGGUGUCCGCAAGGGUUCUACACAGGUGGUGCAUGGCUGUCGUCAAGCUCGUGUCGUGAGAUGUUGGGUUAAGUCCCGCAACGAGCGCAACCCUUGUCCUAUGUUGCCAGCACGUAAUGGUGGGGACUCGUAGGAGCCUGCCGGGGUCAACUCGGAGGAAGGUGGGGACGACGUCAAGUCAUCAUGCCCCUUAUGUCCAGGGCUGCAAACAUGCUACAAUGGCCGAUACAAAGGGCUGCGAGACUGCGAAGUUGAGCGAAUCCCAAAAAGUCGGUCUCAGUUCGGAUUGGAGUCUGCAACUCGACUCCAUGAAGUUGGAGUCGCUAGUAAUCCCGGAUCAAGCAACGCCGGGGUGAAUACGUUCCCGGGCCUUGUACACACCGCCCGUCACACCACGAAAGUCGC
This 484-nucleotide ribosomal RNA is filed under the name uncultured Actinomycetes bacterium. RNAcentral describes it as "bacterial SSU rRNA". It matches the Rfam family "Bacterial small subunit ribosomal RNA", at positions 931 to 1414 of the family's 1533-position model. The record is from RNAcentral. Lineage: Bacteria; Bacillati; Actinomycetota; Actinomycetes.